GUAAAAUGAGCAGCAUAACAAACCUAACAAGCGUUUUGUUGAUCUAAAUGACUGCAAUUUUAUACUGAUCUUAAACAAUUAAGCCUUAGUUCUGUUAAUGCAUGCAUGUCUGAUGUCUCCAAUUAAAGUGCUACUAAAGCCGAAAAAUAAAGUUCCUAUCAUUUUUGUAUCUGCGCGAAGCGUAGUUUUCCUCGCAGACGCUCUUAGUCUUAUAGCUCCAAAAUUCUCCUAGUCUGAUCUCAGAUCCUCUUAGUGGGCUCUAGCGAAUCCCACACGAGGGUCUGAUGACAUUCAUACAACAUUCCUUUUUCAUGUGUUGACCAAUUGCAAAAUCAUCGUAUUCAAAACAAAGUUAUCAUCUACCAGAAAGAAGUUUCCUGUAUGUAAAGUUGUACAACACAAGGAUUGGGCUGGCUUAUACUGCACUACGAGAAAGUGCCUCUGUUACCUGCAGAGAAGAAACGAAGUGCAGUCAAAGUUUUGGAUGUUAAAUCUGUGGAAACUAGGGACAUAAACGCAAACUCCUGCUAACGGAAGACGGAACUGUGUAUAAAGUCAAUUAGCGAUCUAAGCUGGACAAUGUGUUUAAAAACUGUUUAUUUAUGCAACAGAAUCGAG
Molecule: non-coding RNA, 618 nt
Organism: Paramuricea clavata
Lineage: Eukaryota; Metazoa; Cnidaria; Anthozoa; Malacalcyonacea; Plexauridae
Source: the annotation of a GenBank genome assembly